AUGAAGGACGUGCUAAUCUGCGAUAAGCGUCGGUGAGGUGAUAUGAACCGUUAUAACCGGCGAUUUCCGAAUGGGGAAACCCAGUGUGUUUCGACACACUAUCAUUAACUGAAUCCAUAGGUUAAUGAGGCGAACCGGGGGAACUGAAACAUCUAAGUACCCCGAGGAAAAGAAAUCAACCGAGAUUCCCCCAGUAGCGGCGAGCGAACGGGGAGGAGCCCAGAGCCUGAAUCAGUGUGUGUGUUAGUGGAAGCGUCUGGAAAGGCGCGCGAUACAGGGUGACAGCCCCGUACACAAAAAUGCACAUAUUGUGAGCUCGAUGAGUAGGGCGGGACACGUGGUAUCCUGUCUGAAUAUGGGGGGACCAUCCUCCAAGGCUAAAUACUCCUGACUGACCGAUAGUGAACCAGUACCGU
This 416-nucleotide ribosomal RNA is filed under the name Escherichia coli. Its description in RNAcentral is "partial 23S ribosomal RNA". It matches the Rfam family "Bacterial large subunit ribosomal RNA", at positions 49 to 504 of the family's 2925-position model. The record is from RNAcentral. Lineage: Bacteria; Pseudomonadati; Pseudomonadota; Gammaproteobacteria; Enterobacterales; Enterobacteriaceae.